This 626-nucleotide ribosomal RNA is filed under the name Limosilactobacillus mucosae. RNAcentral's name for it is "bacterial SSU rRNA". It matches the Rfam family "Bacterial small subunit ribosomal RNA", at positions 47 to 662 of the family's 1533-position model. Lineage: Bacteria; Bacillati; Bacillota; Bacilli; Lactobacillales; Lactobacillaceae. The record is from RNAcentral.
CUGAUUGAACGUGCUUGCACGGACUUGACGUUGGUUUACCAGCGAGUGGCGGACGGGUGAGUAACACGUAGGUAACCUGCCCCAAAGCGGGGGAUAACAUUUGGAAACAGAUGCUAAUACCGCAUAACAAUUUGAAUCGCAUGAUUCAAAUUUAAAAGAUGGCUUCGGCUAUCACUUUGGGAUGGACCUGCGGCGCAUUAGCUUGUUGGUAGGGUAACGGCCUACCAAGGCUGUGAUGCGUAGCCGAGUUGAGAGACUGAUCGGCCACAAUGGAACUGAGACACGGUCCAUACUCCUACGGGAGGCAGCAGUAGGGAAUCUUCCACAAUGGGCGCAAGCCUGAUGGAGCAACACCGCGUGAGUGAAGAAGGGUUUCGGCUCGUAAAGCUCUGUUGUUAGAGAAGAACGUGCGUGAGAGCAACUGUUCACGCAGUGACGGUAUCUAACCAGAAAGUCACGGCUAACUACGUGCCAGCAGCCGCGGUAAUACGUAGGUGGCAAGCGUUAUCCGGAUUUAUUGGGCGUAAAGCGAGCGCAGGCGGUUUGAUAAGUCUGAUGUGAAAGCCUUUGGCUUAACCAAAGAAGUGCAUCGGAAACUGUCAGACUUGAGUGCAGAAGAGGACAGU